RNAcentral lists this ribosomal RNA (274 nucleotides) under uncultured bacterium. RNAcentral's name for it is "partial 16S ribosomal RNA". It matches the Rfam family "Bacterial small subunit ribosomal RNA", at positions 523 to 796 of the family's 1533-position model. The record is from RNAcentral.
AUACGGAGGGUGCAAGCGUUAAUCGGAAUUACUGGGCGUAAAGAGUACGUAGGCGGUUUGUUAAGUUAGAUGUGAAAGCCCCGGGCUUAACCUGGGAACUGCAUUUAAAACUGGCAAACUAGAGUUGGCUAGAGGGAAGUGGAAUUUCAGGUGUAGCGGUGAAAUGCGUAGAGAUCUGAAGGAACACCAGUGGCGAAGGCGACUUCCUGGACUCAAACUGACGCUGAGGUACGAAAGCGUGGGUAGCAAACGGGAUUAGAAACCCCAGUAGUCC